GUAUAUAUUAUAUAGGCACAACAUUCUAUUAACAUACAUUGGGGUAAAUGAAGCAACAUAGACCUGAAAGGUCUACAAAAGGUGCACAGGUGGAGAUAUAAAGAUGACAAGGCGUGCACAUGCUCCCUAGAGAACCAGCAACAACCCAUCAGGUUUAUUUCAAUAAUGAUCCUUCCGCAGGUUCACCUACGGAAA
This 195-nucleotide unclassified non-coding RNA is filed under the name uncultured fungus. Its description in RNAcentral is "sequence contains ITS1". The record is from RNAcentral. Lineage: Eukaryota; Fungi.